AGAGUGAACGCUGGCGGUAGGCCUAACACAUGCAAGUCGAACGGCAGCACAGUGGUAGCAAUACCAUGGGUGGCGAGUGGCGGACGGGUGAGGAAUACAUCGGAAUCUACCUUUUCGUGGGGGAUAACGUAGGGAAACUUACGCUAAUACCGCAUACGCCCUUCGGGGGAAAGCCGGGGAUCGCAAGACCUGGCGCGGAUAGAUGAGCCGAUGUCGGAUUAGCUAGUUGGUGAGGUAAUGGCUCACCGAAGGCGACGAUCCGUAGCUGGUCUGAGAGGAUGAUCAGCCACACUGGAACUGAGACACGGUCCAGACUCCUACGGGAGCAG
RNAcentral lists this ribosomal RNA (329 nucleotides) under uncultured soil bacterium. RNAcentral describes it as "bacterial SSU rRNA". It matches the Rfam family "Bacterial small subunit ribosomal RNA", at positions 26 to 351 of the family's 1533-position model. The record is from RNAcentral.